Non-coding RNA from Castor canadensis (American beaver), 852 nucleotides. The record is from RefSeq and is a predicted model, not a curated record. Lineage: Eukaryota; Metazoa; Chordata; Mammalia; Rodentia; Castoridae.
AUGAUCCUGAUGUUUAAGGAUACAGCCAAGUGGAGAAUCUGUUGGGAUACAUGUACUUCUCCCCAUUUUGAUCUGAAGAAAGAAUAAAGGAGAAGAGAGAGAAGAAACACAACCCUUAGGAGCAGUCUCUACAGCACCCAAACGUGAUCAUCAACAGACUCUGUACCACCCGAGCAUGACUAAACGGUUCCAGUGAUGGAAACAGUGGACCAGGGCUACAUCAUCAUGGAACACAAUAGUAGGGCAGAGCUCCUGCAGUAUAUCCAACAGACCAACUGCCUGCAUGAGAAUGAGGCCCAUGGAGUAUACAAGCAGAUUGUGUGUGCCAUCAAAUACUGCCACAAAAAAGGCAUGAUACACACACACACGUGAAAUCUAACAUCCUGCUGCAUGCCCAAGGAUACAUCGAGAAGAGCGACUUUGGCUUUAGCUUCAGAUUCUGAUAGAGUUGUGUGCUGUUUUUUCAGUCCAUGCCACCAAACUCUUCCUGUACCACAAAUACAAUGGCCUGAGUGUCCCCCUGGACUACAUGGUCACAGCUGCCUUCCCAUUUAAAGGGAAGACAUUUUUGCAGCUGCAGCAGCAGGUCCUGCACCCAAGGUAUGGCAUACCAUCUUACCUCUCUGUGGAACUGCAAGGCAUCAUCAUUCAAUUACUCACCCUCAAGCCUAGCGAGAAGACUGCCCUGGAGAACAUCGUGGGGAGCCUGUGCCUCAGCCAAGUCUGACAAACGACAGUACUCAAAAACUUUGAAGACCUAUCUCUGGACCAAGCCAAACCCGGCCAAUGUGCUGAUCUAAUCAGGGAUGCAACCUCACCAUCUGUGAAAGGGACAAACAACUGCCUGACCCA